Oncorhynchus keta (chum salmon) is the source of this 765-nucleotide long non-coding RNA. RefSeq lists it as uncharacterized. NCBI's taxonomy places the organism in Eukaryota, Metazoa, Chordata, Actinopteri, Salmoniformes, Salmonidae. The transcript has 3 exons. The record is from RefSeq and is a predicted model, not a curated record.
UUCGGUUCGAUUGUUACAAAAUAAUGACGUUUUUUUCAUUUUGGUUUCAAUUAUUUAUUUAUUUUUACAUUAAAUGCUCUAUGCAACAUAAUGCUGAAUGUUGAAUGCUGUAACACAGAAUAAAAAUGAAAAGUCCCAUGAUGUUAGUGACUGCCCAUUACUUAUUAACCAUCAUUUACUCACAUUUACUUUAAUAAUAUAUUUAAGUUGUUGUGUAUAUUGAAUUUGUUUUAUUUGAUGACUUUAUUACUUCAUUCCAAGUCUUCAUUUCAUUUACAGGUAGAAGCAUUUACUGGUGAAGCAACUGGUCUCUAUCCCUCUCGAUAGUGCAUUUUUCUGUCUUCUCUUGUGUCUGCCCCCACACUAACUUAACAUAGCAGGCCUAAAAGGCUGCGUUUACACAGGAAGCCCAAUUCUGAUAUUUUGUCCACUAAUUGGUCUUUUGACCAAUCACAUCAGAUCUUUUCACAUUGAGAGCUUUUUCAGAGCUGCUCUGAUUGGUCAAAUAACAAUUAGCGAAAGAAAAUAUCAGAAUUGGGCUGCCUGUGUUAAUGCAGCUGAAGAAACAAUGGCUGGACAAGUAGGCGAGCAAUGGAUUAUGGUCCUCCAUUCCCAAACCUGAAGCACCCUGUCCCCAGCAGGAAAGACCAGGAAAAUGUGUUAGCUUAAGCUACAACUUCCUAUUGAGGAAAUGAGACGCCUAUGCAUAACCAUGGUAAAACUGAAAGGGAACACUUUGGAGAUGAGGAAAUGCUCAUAACAAAG